Molecule: ribosomal RNA, 504 nt
Filed under: Cylindrocarpon sp.
Lineage: Eukaryota; Fungi; Ascomycota; Sordariomycetes; Hypocreales; Nectriaceae
Description: SSU rRNA
Rfam family: Eukaryotic small subunit ribosomal RNA
Source: RNAcentral
AAAGUUAGUUAGCAAUUAACAGCGAACUGCGAAUGGCUCAUUAUAUAAGUUAUCGUUUAUUUGAUAGUACCUUACUACUUGGAUAACCGUGGUAAUUCUAGAGCUAAUACAUGCUAAAAAUCCCGACUUCGGAAGGGAUGUAUUUAUUAGAUUAAAAACCAAUGCCCUUCGGGGCUCCUUGGUGAUUCAUGAUAACUCCUCGAAUCGCAUGGCCUUGUGCCGGCGAUGGUUCAUUCAAAUUUCUUCCCUAUCAACUUUCGAUGUUUGGGUAUUGGCCAAACAUGGUUGCAACGGGUAACGGAGGGUUAGGGCUCGACCCCGGAGAAGGAGCCUGAGAAACGGCUACUACAUCCAAGGAAGGCAGCAGGCGCGCAAAUUACCCAAUCCCGACACGGGGAGGUAGUGACAAUAAAUACUGAUACAGGGCUCUUUUGGGUCUUGUAAUUGGAAUGAGUACAAUUUAAAUCCCUUAACGAGGAACAAUUGGAGGGCAAGUCUGGUCCC